GACGAACGCUGGCGGCGCGCUUAAUACAUGCAAGUCGAACGAGAAGCCAGAGCUUGCUCUGGUGGAAAGUGGCGAACGGGUGAGUAACACGUGAGAAACCUGCCCCAAAGAUUGGGAUAAGCCUUGGAAACGAGGUCUAAUACCAAAUACCUUCUUUUUAACACAUGUUAAAAAGAAGAAAUGCUCCGGCGCUUUGGGAUGGUCUCGCGAUCUAUCAGCUUGUUGGUGAGGUGACGGCUCACCAAGGCAUCGACGGAUAGCUGGUCUGAGAGGACGUCCAGCCACAUUGGAACUGAGACACGGUCCAAACUCCUACGGGAGGCAGCAGUAGGGAAUCUUGCACAAUGAGGGAAACCUUGAUGCAGCGACGCCGCGUGCGGGACGAAGGCCCUAGGGUUGUAAACCGCUUUCAGUAGGGACGAAAGUGACGGUACCUACAGAAGAAGCCCCGGCCAACUAUAGUGCCAGCAGCCG
Molecule: ribosomal RNA, 474 nt
Filed under: uncultured bacterium
Lineage: Bacteria
Description: bacterial SSU rRNA
Rfam family: Bacterial small subunit ribosomal RNA
Source: RNAcentral